AGGGUAACGAUCAGAGAAGAAGAACAAGGAACAAACCUUUGUUCAACCUUAAUCCAUCAAAUUGGAGGAUGAAUUAGGGCCAAAUCACAUGCAUGAACAUAAAUUCGUGAUCAUCUAAGCUUGGAGAUCAUAAGUUUAGCGCUUGACAAGCUAGGUGGAAGCUUGGGAAGAAGCGGGUCAAGAAGAUCAAAUACGCGGGAAAAACAUAAUCGGAUGCAAGGUAAUAAUUGGAGUACCGGAUGACGAUCAAGCUCAACGAAGAACCGAACACGAUCAAGUUACAAGCUUCCGCACAUUGUUUCGUCGUCAUUUUUAAAUGGCGAACUUAUACAUAUUAUGUGGUAUUGUUUUUAUUGAGAAAAGUUUUAAAAAACCCUUAUUUUCAUAAGUAUGUGA
Long non-coding RNA from Helianthus annuus (common sunflower), 396 nucleotides. RefSeq lists it as uncharacterized. Lineage: Eukaryota; Viridiplantae; Streptophyta; Magnoliopsida; Asterales; Asteraceae. The record is from RefSeq and is a predicted model, not a curated record. The transcript is spliced from 3 exons.